RNAcentral lists this ribosomal RNA (500 nucleotides) under uncultured bacterium. RNAcentral's name for it is "partial 16S ribosomal RNA". It matches the Rfam family "Bacterial small subunit ribosomal RNA", at positions 30 to 523 of the family's 1533-position model. The record is from RNAcentral.
AUUGAACGCUGGCGGCAGGCUUAACACAUGCAAGUCGAGCGGGGGAAGGUAGCUUGCUACCGGACCUAGCGGCGGACGGGUGAGUAAUGCUUAGGAAUCUGCCUAUUAGUGGGGGACAACAUCUCGAAAGGGAUGCUAAUACCGCAUACGUCAUACGGGAGAAAGCAGGGGAUCUUCGGACCUUGCGCUAAUAGAUGAGCCUAAGUCGGAUUAGCUAGUGGGUGGGGUAAAGGCCUACCAAGGCAACGAUCUGUAGCGGGUCUGAGAGGAUGAUCCGCCACACUGGGACUGAGACACGGCCCAGACUCCUACGGGAGGCAGCAGUGGGGAAUAUUGGACAAUGGGGGGAACCCUGAUCCAGCCAUGCCGCGUGUGUGAAGAAGGCCUUAUGGUUGUAAAGCACUUUAAGCGAGGAGGAGGCUACUCUAGUUAAUACCUAGGGAUAGUGGACGUUACUCGCAGAAUAGCACCGGCUAACUCUGUGCCAGCAGCCGCCGUAA